This 503-nucleotide ribosomal RNA is filed under the name uncultured cyanobacterium. RNAcentral's name for it is "bacterial SSU rRNA". It matches the Rfam family "Bacterial small subunit ribosomal RNA", at positions 948 to 1451 of the family's 1533-position model. The record is from RNAcentral. Lineage: Bacteria; Bacillati; Cyanobacteriota.
AAUUCGAUGCAACGCGAAGAACCUUUACCAAGGCUUGACAUGUCACGAAUCCUAUUGAAAGAUGGGAGUGCCUUCGGGAGCGUGAACACAGGUGGUGCAUGGCUGUCGUCAGCUCGCGUCGUGAGAUGUUGGGUUAAGUCCCGCAACGAGCGCAACCCUCGUUUUUAGUUGCCAGCAUUAAGAUGGGCACUCUAGAGAGACUGCCGGUGACAAACCGGAGGAAGGUGGGGAUGACGUCAAGUCAGCAUGCCCCUUACGUCUUGGGCUACACACGUACUACAAUGCUCCGGACAAAGGGCAGCUACACAGCGAUGUGAUGCGAAUCUCAUAAACCGGAGCUCAGUUCAGAUCGAAGGCUGCAACUCGCCUUCGUGAAGGAGGAAUCGCUAGUAAUUGCAGGUCAGCAUACUGCAGUGAAUUCGUUCCCGGGCCUUGUACACACCGCCCGUCACACCAUGGAAGUCGGUCACGCCCGAAGUCGUAGCCCCAACCUAUUGGAGGGG